GACGAACGCUGGCGGCGUGCCUAAUACAUGCAAGUCGAGCGGACGGACGCGGCGCUUGCUUCUCUGAUGUUAGCGGCGGGCGGGUGAAUAACGCGUGUAUCCCCUCCCUGUCUGACUGGGAUAUCUACGAGACACCGUCGCUAAUACCAGAUAAUCUUUUGAUGCGCGUGGUUCAUUGGUAAGUGUCGGUGUUGCUGUCACUUCUCGCUGGAUCCGCGCUGCAUUAGCUAGUUGUUAAGGUAACGGCUUACCAAGGCAACGCUGCAUAACCGACCUGAGAGGGUGAUCGGCCACACUGGAACUGAGACACGGUCCAGACUCCUACGGGAGGCAGCAGUCGGGAAUCUGCGGCAAUGGGCGAAAGCCUGACGGAGCAAGGCCGCGUGAGUGAUGAAGGUCUUCGGAGCGUAAAACUCUGUUAUUAGGGAAGAACAGAUGUGUAAGUAACUGUGCACAGCGUGACGGUACCUAAUCAGAAAGCCACGGCUAACUACGUG
Molecule: ribosomal RNA, 497 nt
Filed under: uncultured bacterium
Lineage: Bacteria
Description: partial 16S ribosomal RNA
Rfam family: Bacterial small subunit ribosomal RNA
Source: RNAcentral